Molecule: transfer RNA, 69 nt
Filed under: Ictidomys tridecemlineatus (thirteen-lined ground squirrel)
Lineage: Eukaryota; Metazoa; Chordata; Mammalia; Rodentia; Sciuridae
Description: Spermophilus tridecemlineatus (thirteen-lined ground squirrel) tRNA
Rfam family: tRNA
About the family: Transfer RNA (tRNA) molecules are approximately 80 nucleotides in length. Their secondary structure includes four short double-helical elements and three loops (D, anti-codon, and T loops). Further hydrogen bonds mediate the characteristic L-shaped molecular structure. tRNAs have two regions of fundamental functional importance: the anti-codon, which is responsible for specific mRNA codon recognition, and the 3' end, to which the tRNAs corresponding amino acid is attached (by aminoacyl-tRNA synthetases). tRNAs cope with the degeneracy of the genetic code in two manners: having more than one tRNA (with a specific anti-codon) for a particular amino acid; and 'wobble' base-pairing, i.e. permitting non-standard base-pairing at the 3rd anti-codon position.
Source: Rfam by way of RNAcentral
GGGGUUGUGGCUCAGUGGUAGAGCGCUAGCCUAGCACUGGCGAGGCCCUGGGUUCAAUUCCCAACACCA